UGAGCAACCUGCCCUUGACUCUGGAAUAACAGCUGGAAACAGCUGCUAAUACCGGAUACGACCUCCGAUGGCAUCAUCUGGAGGUGGAAAGCUCCGACGGUCAAGGAUGGGCUCGCGGCCUAUCAGCUUGUUGGUGGGGUNAUUGCCUACCAAGGCGACGACGGGUAGCCGGCCUGAGAGGGCGACCGGCCACACGUGGGACUGAGACACGGCCCAGACUCCGUAGG
RNAcentral lists this ribosomal RNA (227 nucleotides) under uncultured bacterium. RNAcentral's name for it is "partial 16S ribosomal RNA". It matches the Rfam family "Bacterial small subunit ribosomal RNA", at positions 118 to 344 of the family's 1533-position model. The record is from RNAcentral.